GGAUGUGAGGGCAACCAGGUCAUGACGUCUCAAACACUAUUGCUGACCAGGGUUCAUUUGGCUCCUCUGGCUGGCUAAGCAGGUCCCCCAUCACCCUCACUACUCCAUGUGCAUCUCUCUGAAGAUACUUGUUUGGUUAAAGAGGAUGACCUUUCCCAAUUAGAAGCAAAUCUGCCUUCCUUUGACUGUCUAUGAGUACCUGCGCUUGCCUGACAGAACCUCCAAGCAAGCUCUCCUGGACUACAAGAGACCUUCUCCCCCCGCCGCCCCCCAGAACCUUGAAGCUGAGGUGCCAGGGCUUGCAGAAGAUGGCACAUAAUGGAUUCCCCUCAACAGCACCAUGGCAUUCAACUCUGGGAGCACAAGCCAGCCUGCUGUUCCUC
This 383-nucleotide small nuclear RNA is filed under the name Erinaceus europaeus (western European hedgehog). RNAcentral describes it as "7SK RNA". It matches the Rfam family "7SK RNA". Rfam says of the family: 7SK was discovered as an abundant small nuclear RNA in the mid-70s but a possible function has only recently been suggested. Two independent studies have found that 7SK RNA binds the CDK9/cyclin T complex (known as elongation factor P-TEFb). The record is from Rfam by way of RNAcentral. Lineage: Eukaryota; Metazoa; Chordata; Mammalia; Eulipotyphla; Erinaceidae.